GCUGGAGCCUUUAACCUCCAUUCACUGUAGCAGGAGUGGUAUGCACCAUAAAAACCACCUGUAGAGAAACUGACAUGACAAGAGUUGAUUGAGAAGCUCAGUGCUGGCAGCUGAAGUAGACUUCUGGUCACAGCCCACAGGUCUUGUGGCAGCUGGUGCCAAGUGGCAGUAUCUUCCCUAAACCCAGUGUCCCUGGGAAAGGUGCUCAGCUUCACCUCUGGCUGAACCAGCAAAUGGGACAACAGCAGAUGGAUCCCUUGGGCUGGACAGAAACCCCAUGUUCCUGGGCACACCUGUCUGCCCAGCAGGAUGAAAUCCUUGGCAAGAGCAGCUGGAUAAGAUAGUCACUUUCUUGACAUCCCUUAAAAGCUACUACAAGACCUACAGACUGUUUCAAAAUUCCUCAGCUCUGCUCAUUAACCUACAAGAAUCUUGGUUUUAUUUUACAAGAGGAGUUUCAGGGAACUGAAGCAGACAGUGUAUGAGAAAUCCUUCAGAGGACAAAAGGACAAGAUCUACAGACUCCUAAGUAUUAGCAGCUUAUAGAGGUGACAUCUGCAUAAGAAGGGAACAAAGCUGACUCACAUAAGA
Molecule: non-coding RNA, 591 nt
Organism: Cyanistes caeruleus (blue tit)
Lineage: Eukaryota; Metazoa; Chordata; Aves; Passeriformes; Paridae
Source: RefSeq, a predicted model, not a curated record